AGGACGGUAUAAGUAGAGCCAGGUGAG
RNAcentral lists this non-coding RNA (27 nucleotides) under Mus musculus (house mouse). Lineage: Eukaryota; Metazoa; Chordata; Mammalia; Rodentia; Muridae. The record is from RNAcentral.